RNAcentral lists this ribosomal RNA (497 nucleotides) under uncultured bacterium. RNAcentral describes it as "partial 16S ribosomal RNA". It matches the Rfam family "Bacterial small subunit ribosomal RNA", at positions 28 to 507 of the family's 1533-position model. The record is from RNAcentral.
GAUGAACGCUGGCGGCGUGCCUAAUACAUGCAAGUCGAGCGAACGGACGAGAAGGUUGCUUUUCUGAUGUUAGCGGCGGACGGGUGAGUAACACGUGGAUAACCUACCUAUAAGACUGGGAUAACUUCGGGAAACCGGAGCUAAUACCGGAUAAUAUUUUGAACCGCAUGGUUCAAAAGUGAAAGACGGUCUUGCUGUCACUUAUAGAUGGAUCCGCGCUGCAUUAGCUAGUUGGUAAGGUAACGGCUUACCAAGGCAACGAUGCAUAGCCGACCUGAGAGGGUGAUCGGCCACACUGGAACUGAGACACGGUCCAGACUCCUACGGGAGGCAGCAGUAGGGAAUCUUCCGCAAUGGGCGAAAGCCUGACGGAGCAACGCCGCGUGAGUGAUGAAGGUCUUCGGAUCGUAAAACUCUGUUAUUAGGGAAGAACAUAUGUGUAAGUAACUGUGCACAUCUUGACGGUACCUAAUCAGAAAGCCACGGCUAACUACGUG